Molecule: long non-coding RNA, 1878 nt
Organism: Oreochromis niloticus (Nile tilapia)
Lineage: Eukaryota; Metazoa; Chordata; Actinopteri; Cichliformes; Cichlidae
Exons: 3
Source: RefSeq, a predicted model, not a curated record
AACUAGAAUCGGCUGGGCCGCGCUAUGAAUUCUGGCAUAGGGUGGGCCACGAAGGAUACACCUGACCCAUCCUUCAAAGCUGUGGAAAGUAUUGUAUUGUUUUGAGAGCCUUUUUGUUGGUGGAGUAUUGAUUUUAUGUACAAUUCCACGGGUAGACGCGAUCUGUACGGUCCGACUUUGCACAUGCGCAGUAAGGAUCGAGGAGUCCGAUUCGUAACUUUUUUUUCUCGUUUUUUUUUCUACAUUAUAUUGAAAUGUUUCAUUAUUGCAAACAUUUUCUCUCAGGCAGAGAGAGGUCGUGGAGUGUCAGCCUAUGGUAUCUGAGGUCCAGGAGAGAUGACCUGCGCUGUUUUCCUCUGAGGAGGUAAGACUGUCCUAAUUUAUUUACAAUUUAAUUAUUAUUCAAAUUGGCCAUUAUUUAUACUUAUAUUGAAAUAGUACGGUAUUUGCUGGGGUAAUGCAUUGGCCAACUUUAUUAUCUUGUGCUACCACUCCAGUCAAGGCCCUUGCCAGUGUUAUAUUGAAAUCCUUACCCUGAACAUUUCUGCCAGUAGAAGAAAAGAGUCCCCAUGCUAAAUCGAAAUUGUGAAACAGAAAGGCAAUCUCAUAAUUUUGACUUAGCAUGUAUUUUUUUUUUUUUUUUUUUGUGCUAGAAAUAGGACUUCUAUAGACUGAGAUGGUUAGGGAAAGAAUACUAGGGUAGGUCACAGAAUCUGAUUGGUCACAGAUUUUGGUGCAACUUAAAACAUAAUGUGUAUUUUCAUCUUGAUACUGGGUUUUGUGGGGGGUGUUUCUAUUCCUGUGCAAAAGACGUAUUCAUGAGAGAUUUUUGAAGUAGGUUUUGCUGUUGAUAACACAGUCAGGCAUAUAACAUGGUGCAGACUGUCCAAGACAGCUACCCAGGAAUUUUCUGUGCUGAAUAAAUGACAAUAUUUUGGUGAAUGUAUUGUUUAGAUAUCUGAAAAACUUCAUCGGCUCACAAGCAAAGACCUCCUGGGGACCUUCAAUGCAUCCUUUGACAAAUUUGUGCCUGGCCUGCUGAAACUCUACUGGUCUAAGAAGGGAGUUCUUUGUGAGGAGAUGGAAGACCUCCUGGAUAAACUUGAUGAACAGACAUCCAACACUGUGUCCAACGGGCACUGAGAGGCCUGCCCUUUUUCCUCAAGGGAAGAUGCAACAGAGGUUUUCCUGAAGUGCUUAGACACUGACAUUUUGGAACCAGUGUUGAACGGUGCAUCAGUUGCCAUCCUCACCAUCCUACAAGAUGACGAUGCCGAUACGUCUGUGCGAGAACAUGCAGUUGUGUUGGAGGGGGACAUCAUGCUACAUAACAUUCCAGACCUCUCUACUGCCCUGGCAUACCUCUUUGGCCUUCUGUAUGCCCUCAACAUUGAUUAUCCAAAGCAGAUGAGUUUUAACUUUGAAGCAAUUCAGACCAUCUUAUUUUGACCUGGUCGGACAAUAUGAAGGCGAAGUGGAUAAAUCAUUAUUCGAAAUGUAAAUUUUAGUCAGAUGAAUCUGUAUUGUUGAGAAUAUAUGGUGAAAAUUUGUCUUGUAGUAUUUUAAAAAACUUGUUAUAGUGUUAGUUUCCUCUUCAUUGAUGGUAACAUUUCGAAAUAACUUUUAACUUCCAUAGUUCAUCAUAGUAAGCCUGUGUAAAAUGUCAAUGUCUGGGUACAUAGGCAAUCGUUUGUGGCACUACCCCAUUUUUUUUUUUAAAACAGUAUGUUUAUUGAUUUUUAUAAUACAGAACAAGCAAAGAAUAAUAGUACAGUUAACAUGAGAUUUAUAUUAAAGAACAUAGUCCCCAAAAUAAACAAAUAUAAAUUAAAAGAAACAACAAUAAUAAUAAACCAAAAAAAAAAAAAUCGAUGUACA